Molecule: small nucleolar RNA, 95 nt
Filed under: Microtus ochrogaster (prairie vole)
Lineage: Eukaryota; Metazoa; Chordata; Mammalia; Rodentia; Cricetidae
Source: RNAcentral
AGGCUCCCAUGAUGUUUUUAGCACUGGGCUCCGAUCAUCCUUGAGGACACAGUGCCCCUCCAGGAUCUUUGACACCUGGAGGGUCUGAGGGGCUC